UAACAAGGUCUCCUGGAAUGGAGCGUCAUAGAGGGUGAGAAUCCCGUCCAUGACACGGACGACCGAUGCUAUGUGAGGCACUCUCAAAGAGUCGAGUUGUUUGGGAAUGCAGCUCAAAAUGGGUGGUAAAUUCCAUCUAAAGCUAAAUAUUGGCGAGAGACCGAUAGCGAACAAGUACCGUGAGGGAAAGAUGAAAAGCACUUUGGAAAGAGAGUUAAACAGUACGUGAAAUUGUUGAAAGGGAAACGCUUGAAGUCAGUCGCGUUCCGUGGAACUCAGCCUUGCUUCGGCCUGGUGUACUUUCUGCGGGACGGGUCAACAUCAGUUUUGGCCGGUGGAAAAAGGCAGAGGGAAUGUAGCGCCGUUUCGGCGGCGUGUUAUAGCCCUUUGUCGAAUACACUGGCUGGGACUGAGGACUGCAGCACGCCCUUGUGGCCGGGGGUUCGCCCCACGUAACGUGCUUAGGAUGUUGGCAUAAUGGCUUUAAGCGACCCGUCUUGAAACACGGACCAAGGAGUCUAACAUGCCUGCGAGUGUUCGGGUGGAAAACCCUUGCGCGUAAUGAAAGUGAAAGUUGGGAACCUCCGCAAGGGGGUGCACCGACGCCCGGCCCUGAAGUUCUCUGACGGUGCUGCGGUAGAGCAAGUAUGUUGGGACCCGAAAGAUGGUGAACUAUGCCUGAAUAGGGCGAAGCCAGAGGAAACUCUGGUGGAGGCUCGUAGCGAUUCUGACGUGCAAAUCGAUCGUCAAAUUUGGG
This 757-nucleotide ribosomal RNA is filed under the name Inonotus griseus. RNAcentral describes it as "eukaryotic LSU rRNA". It matches the Rfam family "Eukaryotic large subunit ribosomal RNA", at positions 178 to 915 of the family's 3401-position model. Lineage: Eukaryota; Fungi; Basidiomycota; Agaricomycetes; Hymenochaetales; Hymenochaetaceae. The record is from RNAcentral.